AGCAGCCAACUCUACGUUUUUGGUAUGUCUUGAUUUUUUGAAUUCAUUUUUACCAUAUUUCAGCCAAAUGUAGUUAAACGUCUAGAGUGUCGCCAUGUAACAUGCUAAAAAAGAGCCGUUAGCUUAUUUGCUGUUUUAUCUGUUGUCAAAGAAUUGGCGCUUUUUCAUUUGAAUUUGUCUUUGGCACAAGAGCCGUAAUAUCACAUUAAACCUAAUUACGAGGCACUCAUAACAUAAUUAGGUUUUCUGUGUGAAUAGAUUUGUCAACUGACUCUUCAGUUACAUUGUGUAUUUACUGCACCGUGGUGUUAGUGAGAUUUUGGACAUUGAACAGCUUUAGCUAAUAUCAUCAGCGGCAUUAUGCUAGCUUACAUCCCUACCCCUCCUGCCCUCACCUGCUGUCCUUUUGUUUUUGUUUUUGUUUUUUUUGCUGCACAUUGAGAGACGACCUCUAUUCUGCAUUUCACCAGGAGUCAGCUGAUGGAUUGUGGGUUCAAGGUGUUAUGAUAAAAUGCAGCAUUCCAGUGCAUCCCAACCAUGCCUUUACAGUCAAGGUUUCUGACGGAGCUGAGUUUUUCUCUGACAGUCUGCUGAAAGUGUUUGCAAAGUGAUCGGGGGAACAGGGCACAAAGCUAAAGGAUGUAGCUGCCAUAAUGACAUCAAGGAUGACAUUAAUGCUCGGAGUCCCUCAUCAAAGUGCUCCGCAUCUGUGUGAAAGACAAUUGCAACAUCUUGGUGCAGGAGUUCAUGGACUUGCCUGAGGCCACUGCACAGAUUGAGAAAACCACAAUGAACAUCUGUCUCCAGAGAUGCGCCAGGCAAUGACUUUUCUGAUGUUGUUCUUCAAGAUCUGGAUAACGUGACCUUUGCAGUAGCCAUGCUGUUUGGACCUUUUUUAUUCCUUCAACAUGAGUUACCCAUCACAACUCUGCUACACUUUUGAGGUGAUUCAAUGGGUGGUAAUGGAGUUGGAUGCAACUCAGCUCUCAAGAAAAGCUCACAACUAAGACAAAACUGCUCCUGCAACGAAGCUCACUGUUAUGCAUGUGAGGUGACCAGCUCUAGGUGAGAGGACAUUUAAAUCUCACACUUGUUCUGCUGCAUUUUUGAAGCUCAAU
Molecule: long non-coding RNA, 1118 nt
Organism: Astatotilapia calliptera (eastern happy)
Lineage: Eukaryota; Metazoa; Chordata; Actinopteri; Cichliformes; Cichlidae
Source: Ensembl